CCGUUAAAACACCGGUUUUCGUACGAUCACUGAAGUUAAGCAACGUCGAGCCUGAUCAGUACCUAGAUGGGUGACAGUUUCGGAAUAAUAGUUGCUGU
Molecule: non-coding RNA, 98 nt
Organism: Acanthosepion pharaonis
Lineage: Eukaryota; Metazoa; Mollusca; Cephalopoda; Sepiida; Sepiidae
Source: the annotation of a GenBank genome assembly